This is a long non-coding RNA of Sander lucioperca (pikeperch), 2439 nucleotides long. RefSeq lists it as uncharacterized. Lineage: Eukaryota; Metazoa; Chordata; Actinopteri; Perciformes; Percidae. The record is from RefSeq and is a predicted model, not a curated record. The transcript has 2 exons.
GUGCGGAGAGGAGGGGGGGUGGGAGGACCCUGCGAGACCAGCCAGCCGCACCGCGAGCUGCAACAACACGGGGAUAAACACCGAAUAUCCAACUAGGACUCCAGCUUCAUGUCUCACUCUCAUAAAAUUACUUUAAUCUUCAGUCUGGGGCCGUUUGUAAAUACUGAAAGGCCUGUAUUUCGGGAUUGACGUGUCCAGUAUCCACUUCUCUACUUGUAAACACUUUAUUAACGGCGAACUGAACAAGCUUUCAACUCUGAUUGUGAGAUAUUGUCAGCGCGUCCAGUCAUCGAUCAUCUGCCCCCGGUGCCAGAAAUGGUGUCAUAACAUGAUAAUGCGGCUUCACACAUUCGGCGGUGAUUCCUGCGGUAAAACCCGAGCGGUGGGAUCCGAUGGGACAAAUGUACAGGCAUGAAAUGACUAUCAAAGCCUCCGGCAGACCGGCCGGCGAGACUCUGGGGCGCGGACAGCAGAGAAGCCACGAAGCUGCGCAGGAGCCAUGGACUUUUACGCACAGAGAUACCGGAUCAAAUAAUAAACUGGGUUGACUUGUACUCGUCGAGUUACUUAAUUCAAUUAUUUAUUGGUGAGUAGAAGCUCUCAUUUUAUUUAUUUUUAUGGCGUAGGCCUAUUUAAUUAAACAAAGUAGUAUUGUCAUUGAUAUUUUCUUGAUGGGAAGUUAUUUUUAAUUAAACAAGAAGCUGGUGUUUAAAUCCACUUUCAGCUAAAUGUGUGCAUUUAGUGAAACGUAAACAGGAUUAUAGCCUGGCUCACUACACCACAAGGCGCCCUAAAUGUUAAGAGGGUUAUAGAGAAAAAGCAUAGCUAAAUUAACAUGAAAGGAGACCACAUCAGCGCCUGACCACUGUAAAAUAACUACAAUGGCAUUAUAAAGCAAUUAAGCUACGUCAAUUAGCGUCUAUAAAAGCAAACUGGAGCUCCACUUUCUCUCCUGAACUUGCUCUUUCGUGAGGGUCAGCGCAUUUUGGCAUGCUGAAAAAGAGAGGGGGGGGGCAAAUACCGUCAUUUGUGUUUAAUCCGCUUUGCGAUGACGGUAAUGCUUUGAGUCGUUUCAAUAAAAUCAGCAGGUAUUACUUUCAAACGGCUGAAUGUAAAUGGACAGCAUGUUUGACUGCCGAAACAAAUGGAUGCGUUAUUCCACGGCCUGUGCGCCGUGACUUGAGCAGUUUGGAGACAAAGACGAGCUGCAGCCUUUAUGUUAGUUUAUCAAAACACACGCAACAUCCAAAACGUCUAAGACGUGUUUCCCUCUACUGUUACAUAUUACUAUUUUAAGUCAUCGCCAGCUAUUUUGAGUUACAGUGUUGUAAUAAAUAAUGCACAUUUGAAAAUGUAUUUUAAUACGUGCACUUUGAGUUUUUUUAAUUUUUUUUUUUAAAUAGAUAAAAACAACAUCUCCAGGUCAGAGAAUGACGAUGUCCGAGCCUUUGUGGUUGUGUGUCUGUGGAGCUACUGGCAGCCCGAGGUUUCAAACUGAGGUCAAACUUUUUGCAGCUCUGCGCCCAAACGUGUUGGGAUCUGCAGAGGCCACCGAGCCUCUCUGCUUUGUAUCACCGCUGCAGCACACAGGCAGACAGAUAGACCUGCUGCAAAGUUUUCACAGCUCAUCUAAUUAUAUGAAACUACUAGUAUAUUAUCGCCUGUCAGAAUAUCCAGCCGGAUUCAUUAAGGGUGCAUUUAGGCGCUGUGAGCUCAGUCUAGGAAAAAGGCGCUCAGCUUUGUACGAGUAAAUGGUUUCUCUUGCCUCGAAGAUUUAUUUUAAAAGUUAGUGUAAAACCCAGUGUCACACGUUAAAGGCAUGUAUUGUUUGCAAACUGUUGUAACGUGUAGCAAAGGGUGAAAUACAGUUUGUCUCUGUAAUAGAUAAUUGUAAAAGGAUGGUGAGGUGUUUGCGAAAGUUUGAUGAAUAAAACAAAAAAAUAAUGGCACUAAUAUUACGAGUGUUCAAUCACAUGGCACCGAAAACAUCCUGGUUAAUAGGCUACUAUGGCUUGUGUUUAAUGGUGUAAAAGCAUUGCUUUGGUAUAAUGGCAAUAAUAUGAUGUUUCGCAAUAUUAAUUUUAAACCAUGAAAUCAGUUACAUUGUGUACCAGGGGUAACGCUUUCCUCUGGGAGUUUUCACUUCUGUUGCAUCCUGCAGUUUGGCCCCCAUGUUAAUCUGAGCUGCUCGUCUCUCACACACACAUUAAUGCUUAAUCAUUUGCGCCUUCUACCGGACCUGUUGGAAAUUACAUGAGAAGCAGAAAGGCAGUCUUGCUCAGAUAAUUAAGAUAAAAAGCAACCCUACAAAAUAAAUCGACCGUUAAACUUUUUGUGUACUUCUGUUGCAUUGUCAGCAUUUUUAUCUUUUCCAGCAUGCUGCACUAAAUGCUAAAUAUUAUGUUUGAAUCUAUAAAGAAAUUGUUAUAUUUCUUGUGA